This 332-nucleotide ribosomal RNA is filed under the name uncultured bacterium. RNAcentral's name for it is "bacterial SSU rRNA". It matches the Rfam family "Bacterial small subunit ribosomal RNA", at positions 568 to 898 of the family's 1533-position model. The record is from RNAcentral.
CGUGUAGGCGGUCAGGUAAGUGGGAUGUGAAAUGCCCCGGCUCACCCGGGGAUCUGCAUCCCAUACUGCCCGGCUUGAGUAUGGGGGAGGAUGAGGGAAUUCCUGGUGUAGCGGUGAAAUGCGUAGAUAUCAGGAGGAACACCGGUGGCGAAGGCGCUCAUCUGGCCCAAUACUGACGCUGAGGCGCGAAAGCUAGGGGAGCAAACGGGAUUAGAUACCCCGGUAGUCCUAGCCGUAAACGGUGAUCACUAGGUGUUGGAGGCAUCGACCCCUCCAGUGCCGCAGCUAACGCAUUAAGUGAUCCGCCUGGGGAGUACGGCCGCAAGGUUGAA